This 445-nucleotide ribosomal RNA is filed under the name uncultured bacterium. RNAcentral describes it as "bacterial SSU rRNA". It matches the Rfam family "Bacterial small subunit ribosomal RNA", at positions 330 to 792 of the family's 1533-position model. The record is from RNAcentral.
CCCAGACUCCUACGGGAGGCAGCAGUGGGGAAUAUUGCACAAUGGGGGGAACCCUGAUGCAGCGACGCCGCGUGGGUGAAGAAGUCAUUCGUGACGUAAAGCUCUAUCAGCAAGGAAGAAAUUGACGGUACCUGAGUAAGAAGCUCCGGCUAAAUACGUGCCAGCAGCCGCGGUAAUACGUAUGGAGCAAGCGUUAUCCGGAUUUACUGGGUGUAAAGGGAGCGUAGGCGGCCUGCCAAGUCUGAUGUGAAAUACCGGGGCUCAACCCCGGGGCUGCAUUGGAAACUGGCAGGCUGGAGUGUCGGAGAGGCAGGCGGAAUCCCUAGUGUAGCGGUGAAAUGCGUAGAUAUUAGGAGGAACACCAGUGGCGAAGGCGGCUUACUGGACUGUAACUGACGUUGAGGCUCGAAAGCGUGGGGAGCAAACAGGAUUAGAUACCCGAGUA